This 462-nucleotide ribosomal RNA is filed under the name uncultured bacterium. RNAcentral describes it as "SSU rRNA". It matches the Rfam family "Bacterial small subunit ribosomal RNA", at positions 26 to 518 of the family's 1533-position model. The record is from RNAcentral.
AGGACGAACGCUGGCGGCGUGCUUAACACAUGCAAGUCACGGGGGCCCGCAAGGGCAACCGGCGAACGGGUGCGUAACACGUGAGCAACUUGCCUUUGUGUGGGGGAUAGCCGGGCUAACGCCCGGGUAAUACCGCAUACGGUCACCGAGAGGAGUCUCUUGGUGAAGAAACCUCCGGGGCACGAAGAGGGGCUCGCGGCCUAUCAGCUAGUUGGUGAGGUAAUGGCUCACCAAGCCGACGACGGGUAGCCGGCCUGAGAGGGUGACCGGCCACACUGGGAUUGAGAACGGCCCAGACUCCUACGGGGGGCAGCAGUGAGGAAUUUCGUCAAUGGGGGCAACCCUGAACGAGCAACGCCGCGUGCAGGAAGAAGGUUUUCGGAUCGUAAACUGCUUUUCUCGGGGAAGAGAACGGACGGUACCCGAGGAAUCAGCCCCGGCUAACUACGUGCCAGCAGCCGC